CGAACGCUGGCGGCGUGCUUAACACAUGCAAGUCAAGGAGAACAUUUUCUUCGGAAAAUUAUUAAACUGGCGAACGGGUGAGUAACACGUAGGUAAUCUGCCUCAGAGAUUGGGAUAACUCGGCGAAAGCCGGACUAAUACCGAAUAACGCAAAGAAUUUUUAGGAAAUUUUUGUUAAAGUGGGCUUCGGCUCACACUUUGAGAUGAGCCUGCGUCCGAUUAGCUUGUUGGUGAGGUAAUGGCUUACCAAGGCGAUGAUCGGUAGCUGGUCUGAGAGGACGAUCAGCCACACUGGAAUUGAGAUACGGUCCAGACUCCUACGGGAGGCAGCAGUGGGGAAUUUUGCGCAAUGGGCGAAAGCCUGACGCAGCAACGCCGCGUGAUCGAUGAAGCUCUUAGGAGUGUAAAGAUCUGUCAUAAGGGAAGAACAACUUUAAUAAAAAUAUUAUUAGAAUUUGACGGUACCUUAUAAGAAAGCACCGGCUAACUUA
RNAcentral lists this ribosomal RNA (491 nucleotides) under uncultured bacterium. RNAcentral's name for it is "bacterial SSU rRNA". It matches the Rfam family "Bacterial small subunit ribosomal RNA", at positions 30 to 504 of the family's 1533-position model. The record is from RNAcentral.